This 463-nucleotide ribosomal RNA is filed under the name uncultured bacterium. Its description in RNAcentral is "partial 16S ribosomal RNA". It matches the Rfam family "Bacterial small subunit ribosomal RNA", at positions 28 to 507 of the family's 1533-position model. The record is from RNAcentral.
GAUGAACGCUGGCGGCGUGCUUAACACAUGCAAGUCGAACGGACAGUUCCAAGUUUGUUUGGGUACUCGAGUGGCGACCGGGUGAGUUACCUGUGGGUUCUCUGUCCUGCACUUCGGGAUAAGCCUGUGCAACUGGGUCUAAUACCGGAUAGGACUACUUCGCAGUUGUUGUGGUGGCAAGUUUUUUCGGUGUGGGUUGAGCUCGCGGCCUAUCAGCUUGUUGGUGGGGUGAUGGCCUACCAAGGGGUCGACGGGUAGACGGCCUGAGAGAGUGUGCGGCGACAUUUGGGGUGUGAGACGGGCCAGACUCCCACGCGAGACGGCAGAGGGGAAUAUUGCACGAUGGGCGCGAGCGUGAUGCGGCGACGCGGCGUGGGAGAUGACGGCGUUCUGGUUGUGAACUCCUUUCGCCCAAGAGGAAUUUAUGACGGUAUUUGGAGAAGAAGCACCGGCUAACUACGUG